This 383-nucleotide ribosomal RNA is filed under the name Melligomphus ardens. RNAcentral's name for it is "partial 16S ribosomal RNA". The stretch from base 1 to 188 matches the Rfam family "Archaeal large subunit ribosomal RNA", at positions 1923 to 2143 of the family's 2987-position model. Lineage: Eukaryota; Metazoa; Arthropoda; Insecta; Odonata; Gomphidae. The record is from RNAcentral.
GUCCUCUUGCUUAUAUAUGAGGUUUGACCUGCCCAGUGAUUAAUUUUAACGGCCGCGGUAUUUUGACCGUGCAAAGGUAGCAUAAUCAUUAGUCUUUUAAUAGGAGGCUUGUAUGAAGGGUUUGACGAGUUGUUAACUGUCUCAUUCAAUUUGAAAUUAAAAUUUAACUUUUCAGUUAAAAGGCUGAAAUUAAUUUGGAAGACGAGAAGACCCUAUAGAUCUUUAUAAAUAAUUAUUUUAUUUAAAUUUUUGGUAUAUUAUAUUUAUUUAUUAUUUUAUUUAUUUUGUUGGGGUGACAAAAAUAUAUAAUUAACUUUUUUAUUUAAUUAACAUUGAUGUAUGAAUUUUAGAUCCAUUCUUAUUGAUUGUUAGAUUAAGUUACC